This 429-nucleotide ribosomal RNA is filed under the name Chloroflexota bacterium. RNAcentral's name for it is "Chloroflexi bacterium partial 16S ribosomal RNA". It matches the Rfam family "Bacterial small subunit ribosomal RNA", at positions 355 to 776 of the family's 1533-position model. Lineage: Bacteria; Bacillati; Chloroflexota. The record is from RNAcentral.
UGGGGAAUAUUGCACAAUGGGCGCAAGCCUGAUGCAGACAUGCCGCGUGUAUGAAGAAGGCCUUCGGGUUGUAAAGUACUUUCAGCGGGGAGGAAGGGAGUAAAGUUAAUACCUUUGCUCAUUGACGUUACCCGCAGAAGAAGCACCGGCUAACUCCGUGCCAGCAGCCGCGGUAAUACGGAGGGUGCAAGCGUUAAUCGGAAUUACUGGGCGUAAAGCGCACGCAGGCGGUUUGUUAAGUCAGAUGUGAAAUCCCCGGGCUUAACCCGGGAAUUGCAUCUGAUACUGGUCAGCUAGAGUCUUGUAGAGGGGGGUAGAAUUCCAUGUGUAGCGGUGAAAUGCGUAGAGAUGUGGAGGAAUACCGGUGGCGAAGGCGGCCCCCUGGACAAAGACUGACGCUCAGGUGCGAAAGCGUGGGGAGCAAACAGG